This 1204-nucleotide ribosomal RNA is filed under the name Escherichia coli. RNAcentral describes it as "partial 23S ribosomal RNA". It matches the Rfam family "Bacterial large subunit ribosomal RNA", at positions 418 to 1625 of the family's 2925-position model. Lineage: Bacteria; Pseudomonadati; Pseudomonadota; Gammaproteobacteria; Enterobacterales; Enterobacteriaceae. The record is from RNAcentral.
CGGGACACGUGGUAUCCUGUCUGAAUAUGGGGGGACCAUCCUCCAAGGCUAAAUACUCCUGACUGACCGAUAGUGAACCAGUACCGUGAGGGAAAGGCGAAAAGAACCCCGGCGAGGGGAGUGAAAAAGAACCUGAAACCGUGUACGUACAAGCAGUGGGAGCACGCUUAGGCGUGUGACUGCGUACCUUUUGUAUAAUGGGUCAGCGACUUAUAUUCUGUAGCAAGGUUAACCGAAUAGGGGAGCCGAAGGGAAACCGAGUCUUAACUGGGCGUUAAGUUGCAGGGUAUAGACCCGAAACCCGGUGAUCUAGCCAUGGGCAGGUUGAAGGUUGGGUAACACUAACUGGAGGACCGAACCGACUAAUGUUGAAAAAUUAGCGGAUGACUUGUGGCUGGGGGUGAAAGGCCAAUCAAACCGGGAGAUAGCUGGUUCUCCCCGAAAGCUAUUUAGGUAGCGCCUCGUGAAUUCAUCUCCGGGGGUAGAGCACUGUUUCGGCAAGGGGGUCAUCCCGACUUACCAACCCGAUGCAAACUGCGAAUACCGGAGAAUGUUAUCACGGGAGACACACGGCGGGUGCUAACGUCCGUCGUGAAGAGGGAAACAACCCAGACCGCCAGCUAAGGUCCCAAAGUCAUGGUUAAGUGGGAAACGAUGUGGGAAGGCCCAGACAGCCAGGAUGUUGGCUUAGAAGCAGCCAUCAUUUAAAGAAAGCGUAAUAGCUCACUGGUCGAGUCGGCCUGCGCGGAAGAUGUAACGGGGCUAAACCAUGCACCGAAGCUGCGGCAGCGACGCUGAUGCGUUGUUGGGUAGGGGAGCGUUCUGUAAGCCUGUGAAGGUGUGCUGUGAGGCAUGCUGGAGGUAUCAGAAGUGCGAAUGCUGACAUAAGUAACGAUAAAGCGGGUGAAAAGCCCGCUCGCCGGAAGACCAAGGGUUCCUGUCCAACGUUAAUCGGGGCAGGGUGAGUCGACCCCUAAGGCGAGGCCGAAAGGCGUAGUCGAUGGGAAACAGGUUAAUAUUCCUGUACUUGGUGUUACUGCGAAGGGGGGACGGAGAAGGCUAUGUUGGCCGGGCGACGGUUGUCCCGGUUUAAGCGUGUAGGCUGGUUUUCCAGGCAAAUCCGGAAAAUCAAGGCUGAGGCGUGAUGACGAGGCACUACGGUGCUGAAGCAACAAAUGCCCUGCUUCCAGGAAAAGCCUCUAAG